Molecule: ribosomal RNA, 399 nt
Filed under: uncultured bacterium
Lineage: Bacteria
Description: bacterial SSU rRNA
Rfam family: Bacterial small subunit ribosomal RNA
Source: RNAcentral
GGAGGAAUAUUGGUCAAUGGUCGAGAGACUGAACCAGCCAUGCCGCGUGCAGGAAGAAGGCCUUAUGGGUUGUAAACUGCUUUUGUACGGGAGAAAAAAGACAGUCGCGCAUUGUCAUUGAUAGUACCGUAAGAAUAAGGAUCGGCUAACUCCGUGCCAGCAGCCGCGGUAAUACGGAGGAUCCAAGCGUUAUCCGGAUUUAUUGGGUUUAAAGGGUGCGUAGGCGGAUUAUUAAGUCAGUGUUGAAAGACUAAAGCUCAACUUUAGAAGUGGCAUUGAUACUGGUAGUCUUGAGUACAGAUGAAGUGGGCGGAAUGUGUCAUGUAGCGGUGAAAUGCAUAGAUAUGACACAGAACACCGAUUGCGAAGGCAGCUCACUAAGUUGUAACUGACGCUGAG